Molecule: long non-coding RNA, 624 nt
Filed under: Anser brachyrhynchus (Pink-footed goose)
Lineage: Eukaryota; Metazoa; Chordata; Aves; Anseriformes; Anatidae
Description: lncRNA (ENSABRG00000020046.1)
Source: RNAcentral
AUGGUGAUUUUUUUAAAGAUAGUUUUUGGGCCUGCUCUGAUUCUAUGUUAUUCUCUGGCGUUUUCUAGUGGGCGGACUUGGAGGCUGCUGGCCUGGGAAUGCCAGUGGGUCAGAGCGUGGCUACAGCACCGUGAAAUGGAGCACCUGCCCCCAGUCCUCUCAGCGUGUGCAGGCCUGGGCCUGUGUGGGGGAACCUGUGGCCCUGUCCUCUCUGCUGAGGCAAUCAAGGGUGGUGUCUGGGAGCACACCUGUCCCCUGGCACCUGCCAGGUGUCUGUCAGACCUCAGCCAUUACUGGGCUGCCUCAGCCCUGCACUCCCCCACUGCUGGAUGUGUGGCAGAUGAGGCACUUCACUUCAGUCUGUGUCUUGAGGCGGUGCCCAGGCCUUCCUGCUGCACCAAGGGAAAACCUGUAUUGAUCACAGCUGCACUAAUAACAGAGGAAGUCAUUCAGAAAAACAAGUGGCCAACAGGGGAAAGUUGUGGUUCCCUAAACAGAAGACUUCAUUCUGGAAAAACAGCCUUUACUCCAAGGAAUGCAGUCAUCUUACCUCAUUGGAGUUGUUAUAGAAAAACUCAUCCUCAUCACCAGAGGCAAAUGAUUUCUUGCACUGAUGUCAAAUAA